UUGCUUCAACAGCAUAUAUACUAAAAUUGGAAAAAUACAGAGAAGAUUCUCAUGGCCCCGUGCAGAUGACAAGCAGAUUAGUGAAGCAUUUCAUAUUUUU
Molecule: small nuclear RNA, 100 nt
Filed under: Rhinolophus ferrumequinum (greater horseshoe bat)
Lineage: Eukaryota; Metazoa; Chordata; Mammalia; Chiroptera; Rhinolophidae
Source: RNAcentral